UUCCAGACUCCUACGGGAGGCAGCAGUGGGGAAUAUUGCACAAUGGGGGGAACCCUGAUGCAGCGACGCCGCGUGAGUGAAGAAGUAUUUCGGUAUGUAAAGCUCUGUCAGCAGGGAAGAAGAAAGACGGUACCUGACCAAGAAGCCCCGGCUAACUACGUGCCAGCAGCCGCGGUAAUACGUAGGGGGCAAGCGUUAUCCGGAUUUACUGGGUGUAAAGGGAGCGUAGACGGCCAAGCAAGCCAGGGGUGAAAGCCCGGGGCCCAACCCCGGGACUGCCCUUGGAACUGCAUGGCUGGAGUGCGGGAGGGGCAGGCGGAAUUCCUGGUGUAGCGGUGAAAUGCGUAGAUAUCAGGAGGAACACCGGCGGCGAAGGCGGCCUGCUGGACCGCGACUGACGUUGAGGCUCGAAAGCGUGGGGAGCGAACAGGAUUAGAUACCCGUGUA
RNAcentral lists this ribosomal RNA (447 nucleotides) under uncultured bacterium. RNAcentral's name for it is "bacterial SSU rRNA". It matches the Rfam family "Bacterial small subunit ribosomal RNA", at positions 329 to 792 of the family's 1533-position model. The record is from RNAcentral.